GAGUAAAGAUUUCGGUCGCUCUGGGAGGAGCUCGCUUACUAUCAGCUUGUUGGUAGGGUAAUGGCCUACCAAGGCUAUGACGGUUAGGGGGUGUGAGAGCAUGACCCCCAGCAUUGGCACUGAAACACUGGCCAAACACCUACGGGUGGCUGCAGUCGAGAAUCUUCCACAAUGGGGGAAACCCUGAUGGAGCGAUGCUGCGUGCGGGAUGAAGGCCUUCGGGUUGUAAACCGCUUUUGUAGGGGACGAAAUUUUUGACGGUACCCUUUCGAAUAAGAGGUUGCUAACUCUGUGCCAGCAGCAGCGGUAAUACAGAGACCUCAAGCGUUAUCCGGAUUUACUGGGCGUAAAGCGUCUGUAGGGGGUUUAUUAAGUUCCAAGUAAAAUUUCAAGGCUCAACUUUGAAUUCGCUUGGAAAACUAAUAAACUGGAGUCUAGCAGAGGUGCAUGGAACUUGUGGUGUAGGAGUGAAAUCCGUUGAUAUCACAAGGAACACCAAAGGCGAAGGCAUUGCACUGGGCUAGCACUGACCCUGAGAGACGAAAGCGUGGGGAGCAAAACGGAUUAGAUACCCGUGUAGUCCACGCCCUAAACGAUGAAUGCUAAAUGUUCGGGGAUUCGACCCCCUGGGUGUUACAGCUAACGCGUUAAGCAUUCCGCCUGGGAAGUACGGCCGCAAGGCUAAAACUCAAAGGAAUAGACGGGGAUCCGCACAAGCGGUGGAGCGUCUGGUUUAAUUCGACAGUAAGCGUGGUACCUCACCAGGGUUUGACAUCCCUUGACAGCCUUGGAAACAAGGUUUCCUUCGGGCAAGGUGACAGGUGCUGCAUGGUCGUCGUCAGUUCGUGCCGUGAGGUGUUCCGUUAAGUCGGGAAACGAACGAAACCCCUAUUGCAUGUUACAAUUUCUCAUGCAAGACUGCCCGGAUAUACUGGGAGGAAGGUGGGGAUGACGUCAGAUCUGCAUGGUCCUUAUACCCUGGGCGACACAGGCGCUACAAUGGCAGAGACAAAGGGUUGCAAAACCGCAAGGUGAAGCUAAUCCCAAAAACUUUGUCUAAGUUCGGAUUGAAGGCUGCAAUUCGCCUUCAUGAAGCUGGAAUCGCUAGUAAUCGUGAAUCAGCCACGUCACGGUGAAUAUGUUCCCGGAUCUUGUACUCACCGCCCGUCACACCAAGAGAGUUGGUAGCUCCCGAAG
RNAcentral lists this ribosomal RNA (1197 nucleotides) under uncultured organism. Its description in RNAcentral is "bacterial SSU rRNA". It matches the Rfam family "Bacterial small subunit ribosomal RNA", at positions 199 to 1426 of the family's 1533-position model. The record is from RNAcentral.